CGGCAAAAGGGUGAGGAAUACGUGGGUAAUCUACCUUCGGGACCGGGAUAACACUCCGAAAGGAGUGCUAAUACCGGGUAAGACCACGGCUCCGCAUGGAGCUGAGGUAAAAGAUGGGGACCGCAAGGCCUAUCGUCUGAAGAGGAGCCCAUGUCCUAUCAGCUAGUUGGCGGGGUAACGGCCCACCAAGGCUUUUGACGGGUAGCUGGUCUGAGAGGAUGGUCAGCCACACUGGGACUGAGACACUGCCCAGACUCCUACGGGAGGCUGCAGUCGAGAAUCUUUCGCAAUGGGCGAAAGCCUGACGAUGCGACGCCGCGUGAGGGAUGAAGGUCUUCGGAUCGUAAACCUCUGUCACACGGGAAGAACGUCCUAUGGGUUAAUAACCCUGUGGGCUGACUGUACUGUGAGAGGAAGCCACGGCUAACUCCGUGCCAGCAGCCGCGGUAAUACGGAGGUGGCAAACGUUGUUCGGAUUUAUUGGGUGUAAAGGGUAUGUAGGCGGGCUUGUAAGUCGGAUGUGAAAUACUUUGGCUUAACCAAAGAACUGCAUUCGAAACUGCUUGUCUUGAGUUUGGGAGAGGAGAGUGGAAUUCUCGGUGUAAGGGUGAAAUCUGUAGAUAUCGAGAGGAACAUCUAGUGGCGAAAGCGACUCUCUGGACUAAAACUGACGCUGAAAUACGAAAGCUAGGGGAGCAAACAGGAUUAGAUACCUCUGGUAGUCCUAGCCGUAAACGAUGAUCACUUGGUGUGGGGUCCUUAGGGCUCCAUGCCGAAGUUAACACAUUAAGUGAUCCACCUGGGGACUACGGCCGCAAGGUUGAAACUCAAAGAAAUUGACGGGGACCCGCACAAGCGGUGGAGCAUGUGGUUUAAUACG
This 880-nucleotide ribosomal RNA is filed under the name uncultured bacterium. Its description in RNAcentral is "bacterial SSU rRNA". It matches the Rfam family "Bacterial small subunit ribosomal RNA", at positions 96 to 953 of the family's 1533-position model. The record is from RNAcentral.